AAUGUUUUUGUCAGAGAGGGUCCAGGCACGGUGUAUUAAUGUGGGUGUUGUGUCUGGUAGGUGGAUUGUCAUAGUAAGACCAUUGUGGGUAGGAGUUUAGCUUGGUGACAAAAAUCGCAGAAAAAGUCGGAAGGAGUAAGAACAGGUGUCUUCUAUUCUAACACAGUUCCACUUUUAUAUUGACCUAGUGGCGGGAAUAGUUUGUGGGAGCCUUACAGGACACAGAAAACGUUC
Protopterus annectens (West African lungfish) is the source of this 234-nucleotide long non-coding RNA. RefSeq lists it as uncharacterized. The record is from RefSeq and is a predicted model, not a curated record. The transcript is spliced from 3 exons. Lineage: Eukaryota; Metazoa; Chordata; Ceratodontiformes; Protopteridae.